This 210-nucleotide long non-coding RNA is filed under the name Panax ginseng (ginseng). Its description in RNAcentral is "long non-coding RNA (PGIN_LNC013740)". The record is from RNAcentral. Lineage: Eukaryota; Viridiplantae; Streptophyta; Magnoliopsida; Apiales; Araliaceae.
UAUGAGAGGCUUCCAUGUUUGCAUCCUGUGAGCGUGUUAGGUUUAGACACCUAUCCACGAGGACGGAGAUGGCAUCAUUCCAUACUGGCGAAGGUCCAUGUUGCUGAGGGUUUCACUCAUUGUCGCCUACAGCUGGAGUUGUUGACAACCAAUGUCAUCACAUGGGUUCCGUACUCUAGAGAGCAUUUGGGAGUUGGAUUUGAGGAUGGG